Molecule: ribosomal RNA, 28 nt
Filed under: Rhizoclonium riparium
Lineage: Eukaryota; Viridiplantae; Chlorophyta; Ulvophyceae; Cladophorales; Cladophoraceae
Description: partial 28S rRNA
Source: RNAcentral
CCAUUCGACCUGAGUUUAGGCAGGGUUA